UACGAAGGGGGCUAGCGUUGUUCGGAAUUACUGGGCGUAAAGCGCACGUAGGCGGCUUUCUAAGUCAGGGGUGAAAUCCUGGAGCUCAACUCCAGAACUGCCUUUGAUACUGGAAAGCUUGAGUUCGGGAGAGGUGAGUGGAACUCCGAGUGUAGAGGUGAAAUUCGUAGAUAUUCGGAAGAACACCAGUGGCGAAGGCGACUCACUGGCCCGAUACUGACGCUGAGGCGCGAAAAGCGUGGGGAGCAAACAGG
RNAcentral lists this ribosomal RNA (254 nucleotides) under uncultured bacterium. RNAcentral describes it as "partial 16S ribosomal RNA". It matches the Rfam family "Bacterial small subunit ribosomal RNA", at positions 524 to 776 of the family's 1533-position model. The record is from RNAcentral.